GAUGAAGAACGCAGCGAAAUGCGAUAAGUAAUGCGAAUUGCAGAAUUCAGUGAAUCAUCGAAUCUUUGAACGCACAUUGCGCCCGCUAGUAUUCUGGCGGGCAUGCCUGUCUGAGCGUCAUUUCAACCCUCGCCCCCGGCUUUUGCUGGGAGCGGUGUUGGGGAUCGGCCCGCCCCCGCGCGGGCCGGCCCCGAAUUAUAGUGGCGGCUCCACCGCGAGCUCCCCUGCGCAGUAGCGAUACCUCGCAGCCGGAUAGCGGUGCGGCCACGCCGUAAAACACCCCACUUCUUCAAGGUUGACCUCGGAUCAGGUAGGAAUACCCGCUGAACUUAAGCAUAUCAAUAAGCGGAGGA
RNAcentral lists this unclassified non-coding RNA (353 nucleotides) under soil metagenome. RNAcentral's name for it is "partial contains 5.8S ribosomal RNA, internal transcribed spacer 2, and large subunit ribosomal RNA". The stretch from base 1 to 120 matches the Rfam family "5.8S ribosomal RNA", at positions 35 to 154 of the family's 154-position model. The record is from RNAcentral.